RNAcentral lists this ribosomal RNA (253 nucleotides) under uncultured bacterium. RNAcentral's name for it is "partial 16S ribosomal RNA". It matches the Rfam family "Bacterial small subunit ribosomal RNA", at positions 524 to 776 of the family's 1533-position model. RNAcentral also lists the same sequence under 1 other name. The record is from RNAcentral.
UACGUAGGGUGCGAGCGUUAAUCGGAAUUACUGGGCGUAAAGCGUGCGCAGGCGGUUUUGUAAGACAGGCGUGAAAUCCCCGGGCUCAACCUGGGAAUUGCGCUUGUGACUGCAAGGCUAGAGUGCGUCAGAGGGGGGUAGAAUUCCACGUGUAGCAGUGAAAUGCGUAGAGAUGUGGAGGAAUACCGAUGGCGAAGGCAGCCCCCUGGGACGUGACUGACGCUCAUGCACGAAAGCGUGGGGAGCAAACAGG